RNAcentral lists this ribosomal RNA (253 nucleotides) under uncultured bacterium. RNAcentral describes it as "partial 16S ribosomal RNA". It matches the Rfam family "Bacterial small subunit ribosomal RNA", at positions 524 to 776 of the family's 1533-position model. The record is from RNAcentral.
UACGAAGGGGGCUAGCGUUGAUCGGAAUGACUGGGCGUAAAGGGCGCGUAGGCGGUUUGUACAGUCAGGUGUGAAAUUCCCGGGCUCAACCUGGGGGCUGCACUUGAUACGUAUGGACUGGAGUGGGGAAGAGGGUCGUGGAAUUCCCAGUGUAGAGGUGAAAUUCGUAGAUAUUGGGAAGAACACCGGUGGCGAAGGCGGCUAGCUGGACCGACAUUGACGCUGAGGCGCGAAAGCGUGGGGAGCAAACAGG